ACGGGUGAGUAACGCGUGGGAACGUGCCUUCCGGUUCGGAAUAACCCUGGGAAACUAGGGCUAAUACCGGAUACGCCCUUUUGGGGAAAGGUUUACUGCCGGAAGAUCGGCCCGCGUCUGAUUAGCUAGUUGGUGGGGUAACGGCCUACCAAGGCGACGAUCAGUAGCUGGUCUGAGAGGAUGAUCAGCCACACUGGGACUGAGACACGGCCCAGACUCCUACGGGAGGCAGCAGUGGGGAAUAUUGGACAAUGGGCGCAAGCCUGAUCCAGCCAUGCCGCGUGAGUGAUGAAGGCCUUAGGGUUGUAAAGCUCUUUUAUCCGGGACGAUAAUGACGGUACCGGAGGAAUAAGCCCCGGCUAACUUCGUGCCAGCAGCCGCGGUAAUACGAAGGGGGCUAGCGUUGCUCGGAAUCACUGGGCGUAAAGGGCGCGUAGGCGGCGUUUUAAGUCGGGGGUGAAAGCCUGUGGCUCAACCACAGAAUGGCCUUCGAUACUGGGACGCUUGAGUAUGGUAGAGGUUGGUGGAACUGCGAGUGUAGAGGUGAAAUUCGUAGA
RNAcentral lists this ribosomal RNA (557 nucleotides) under Methylobacterium sp. SDB-029. RNAcentral's name for it is "bacterial SSU rRNA". It matches the Rfam family "Bacterial small subunit ribosomal RNA", at positions 102 to 694 of the family's 1533-position model. RNAcentral also lists the same sequence under 3 other names. The record is from RNAcentral. Lineage: Bacteria; Pseudomonadati; Pseudomonadota; Alphaproteobacteria; Hyphomicrobiales; Methylobacteriaceae.